This 371-nucleotide ribosomal RNA is filed under the name uncultured eukaryote. RNAcentral describes it as "partial 18S ribosomal RNA". It matches the Rfam family "Eukaryotic small subunit ribosomal RNA", at positions 592 to 976 of the family's 1831-position model. The record is from RNAcentral.
CAAUAGCGUAUAUUAAAGUUGUUGCAGUUAAAAAGCUCGUAGUUGGAUUUCUGGUAGGAUGACUGUGCCCUCAGUAGAGUGUGCGCUGGCGUCUUGCCAUCCUUCUGUUAACCUUUGGGAGCUUCACCGCUCCCUUUGGGGCUCAGAUAUUUUACCUUGAGAAAAUUAGAGUGUUUCAGGCAGGCUAGCGCCGGAAUACAUUAGCAUGGAAUAAUGGAAUAGGACUUUUGCCUCUUCUGUUGGUCAUAGGGUUCGAGUAAUGAUUAAUAGGGAUAGUUGGGGGCAUUAGUACUUCACUGUCAGAGGUGAAAUUCUCGGAUUUGUGAAAGACUAACUUAUGCGAAAGCAUUUGCCAAGGAUGUUUUCAUUAA